RNAcentral lists this ribosomal RNA (418 nucleotides) under uncultured bacterium. RNAcentral describes it as "bacterial SSU rRNA". It matches the Rfam family "Bacterial small subunit ribosomal RNA", at positions 355 to 786 of the family's 1533-position model. The record is from RNAcentral.
UGGGGAAUAUUGCACAAUGGGCGAAAGCCUGAUGCAGCGACGCCGCGUGAGGGAUGACGGCCUUCGGGUUGUAAACCUCUUCAGCAGGGACGAAGCGAGAGUGACGGUACCUGCAGAAGAAGCGCCGGCCAACUACGUGCCAGCAGCCGCGGUAAUACGUAGGAUGCAAGCGUUGUCCGGAAUUAUUGGGCGUAAAGGGUGCGCAGGCGGUUUUUCAAGUCAGAUGUGAAAUAUCCCGGCUUAACUGGGAGGGGCCAUUUGAAACUGAAAGACUAGAGUGCAGGAGAGGAUAGCGGAAUUCCCGGUAUAGUGGUGAAAUGCGUAGAUAUCGGGAGGAACACCAGUGGCGAAGGCGGCUAUCUGGCCUGCAACUGACGCUGAGGCACGAAGGCUAGGGGAGCGAACAGGAUUAGAUACC